ACAGAAAAGGAGUUGUGAAACUCUGAGAAUAGAAUAGUUUAGUUAAGUCUAGUUUAGUUUUUGUGUUAAAUGGCUUCCUCGUCGGCGGACGAACAAGGAAGCCAUUUUUAU
Bacteroides sp. CAG:189 is the source of this 111-nucleotide small RNA. It matches the Rfam family "Bacteroides sRNA BTnc049". Rfam says of the family: An uncharacterized small RNA discovered in Bacteroides thetaiotaomicron NCBI's taxonomy places the organism in Bacteria, Pseudomonadati, Bacteroidota, Bacteroidia, Bacteroidales, Bacteroidaceae. The record is from Rfam.